GGUCAAUGAUGUGUUGCAAUGUAUUACCUGAAUUUACGGCUGACAUAUGAUAACACUAGCUCUAGGAUUACACUGAAACCUU
Molossus molossus (Pallas's mastiff bat) is the source of this 82-nucleotide small nucleolar RNA. RefSeq annotates it as small nucleolar RNA SNORD45. The transcript has a single exon. Lineage: Eukaryota; Metazoa; Chordata; Mammalia; Chiroptera; Molossidae. The record is from RefSeq and is a predicted model, not a curated record.